CAGAUGUUCGCACACUGGAUACCCAGUUGU
RNAcentral lists this non-coding RNA (30 nucleotides) under Rattus norvegicus (Norway rat). Lineage: Eukaryota; Metazoa; Chordata; Mammalia; Rodentia; Muridae. The record is from RNAcentral.